CCCUCCCUCUUGUCUUUCUCUUGUCCUGUGCCAGUCUUGUGCGUACCUUUGCCACAGACUUGUCUAGAACCACGUUUUGUGCACCUUUUGAUCCACCGGAACUUAUGUCAGGCAACCUGAGGAGCUCGGAGAAUAUAGUCCUGCUCUAGAGACCUGAGGCAGUACCAGCACGGCUCUGAUGCAGCGUCUGCAACUAUAGGCCAAAGCUGACCCGCCUUACCCUAUGACAAUCGGUGUUGUCAUCCUGGACUCCUCCCGUCUCUGCCUGGUCCGGUUCCUCCGGUUCUUGGAGCUUUUCCGAGCCCUCAUCGCCAGAAGUGUGUCUGCUAAUGUCUGCCUGGUCAGGAGCGAUCCCACUGAGGGGUUUAAGGAGCAGCCAGUCCAAAAGCUAGGCAGGUGUGUGUCAUGGUCAGC
Nerophis ophidion (straightnose pipefish) is the source of this 414-nucleotide long non-coding RNA. RefSeq lists it as uncharacterized. Lineage: Eukaryota; Metazoa; Chordata; Actinopteri; Syngnathiformes; Syngnathidae. The record is from RefSeq and is a predicted model, not a curated record. The transcript has 4 exons.